AGGAGGAUAUUCCACAAGUGAUCGGUAUGUUACUAAUCAGGUUCCUUUUCAGUUUAUUUUCACGUUAAUCUUUGUUUGGUCAUGAGCAUGGCAUCUGAAUGGCGUAGUUAGAUCUUUUCCUUGCAUUUUUCAAAGCCACCAUAUGGGAUUAGAUGAUGUUGAAAUUGAUUUGUGCUAAUUGAUGUGUGAAUCCCAUUGCAGAUUUCAGAGAGGGUGCUUGUUU
RNAcentral lists this unclassified non-coding RNA (223 nucleotides) under Hevea brasiliensis (rubber tree). Lineage: Eukaryota; Viridiplantae; Streptophyta; Magnoliopsida; Malpighiales; Euphorbiaceae. The record is from RNAcentral.